This 492-nucleotide ribosomal RNA is filed under the name uncultured bacterium. Its description in RNAcentral is "partial 16S ribosomal RNA". It matches the Rfam family "Bacterial small subunit ribosomal RNA", at positions 29 to 507 of the family's 1533-position model. The record is from RNAcentral.
AGUGAACGCUGGCGGUAGGCCUAACACAUGCAAGUCGAACGGCAGCACAGUAAGAGCUUGCUCUUACGGGUGGCGAGUGGCGGACGGGUGAGGAAUACAUCGGAAUCUACUUUUUCGUGGGGGAUAACGUAGGGAAACUUACGCUAAUACCGCAUACGACCUACGGGUGAAAGCAGGGGAUCUUCGGACCUUGCGCGAUUGAAUGAGCCGAUGUCGGAUUAGCUAGUUGGCGGGGUAAAGGCCCACCAAGGCGACGAUCCGUAGCUGGUCUGAGAGGAUGAUCAGCCACACUGGAACUGAGACACGGUCCAGACUCCUACGGGAGGCAGCAGUGGGGAAUAUUGGACAAUGGGCGCAAGCCUGAUCCAGCCAUACCGCGUGGGUGAAGAAGGCCUUCGGGUUGUAAAGCCUUUUUGUUGGGAAAGAAAAGCAGCAGGUUAAUACCCCGCUGUUCUGACGGUACCCAAAGAAUAAGCACCGGCUAACUUCGUG